AUCGAGCUGACAAAUCCUAAAUAGGACGAAACGCGCGUCCUGGAU
Molecule: non-coding RNA, 45 nt
Filed under: Schistosoma margrebowiei
Lineage: Eukaryota; Metazoa; Platyhelminthes; Trematoda; Strigeidida; Schistosomatidae
Source: RNAcentral